AUACGGAGGAUGCAAGCGUUAUCCGGAUUUAUUGGGUUUAAAGGGUGCGUAGGCGGUUUGCUAAGCGGGAGGUGAAAUGCCGGCGCUCAACGUCGGAAGUGCCUCCCGAACUGGUGGACUGGAAUGACUCUGCCGUGGGAGGAAUGUGUAGUGUAGCGGUGAAAUGCUUAGAGAUUACACAGAACACCGAUUGCGAAGGCAUCUCACGAAGGGUUGAUUGACGCUGAGGCACGAAAGCGUGGGGAUCAAACAGGAUUAGAUACCCUGGUAGUCCACGCAGUAAACGAUGAUGGCUAACCGCUGGUUUAUUCGGAUCAGUGGCCAAGCGAAAGCGAUAAGCCAUCCACCCGGGGAGUACGACCGCAAGGUUGAAACUCAAAGGAAUUGACGGGG
This 393-nucleotide ribosomal RNA is filed under the name uncultured bacterium. RNAcentral describes it as "partial 16S ribosomal RNA". It matches the Rfam family "Bacterial small subunit ribosomal RNA", at positions 523 to 918 of the family's 1533-position model. The record is from RNAcentral.